AUUUUGAUAUUCAUGAACUACAUAGAGCUCAUGCAAAUGAACAAGUUAGUAUAUUUUGCCUAAUUUGGCUGAGUAUGAGUUUAUCAGCUCUGGUCUCUACCUAGUGGUGUUAUUGCACUUGUGCGAACAAAGCUUUUCUGAUAUGAUGGGAAAUACAAAUGAACCAAGCACACGUGUCCGAUUUAUUAACCUUGCAAGAACUCUUCAGGCACAUAUGGAAGAUCUCGAAACUUCAGAGGAUGAUUCCGAAGAAGAUGGAGACCAUAACAGGACAUUUGAUAUUGCCUAACUUCAUAUAAGACAGAUGGAUGAUCUGUGAACACAAGUGUUUAUUAAAAAUGGCAAUUAAAUAUAAAUUACUUUUGUGGGGGAAUGCCUAAUACAUUGACUAUAUAUAAAAUGAAUAUAUACAUACACAUGUAUGCCUGUAUAUAUAUAUUCAUUCUCAAGUGUUGCUGAAUUAAAAUUCUGCUGGACUUUUUAACAUAGCAAAUCUGAUGUUUAUAAACUGGUAAUCAAAAAGGUUUUUUUCUUUUAGGUGAGUGGGAAAGUAUUACCCUUGUUUUAAAUAUCUAAGCAAUGCCUAUCAACCCUUUUUUUGUGUUCUGAUUACUGUAGUCAUAUUUAUGAAAAAAGGUUUGUGUUUUACUCUUGCUAGUGAGAAAAGUGGGACAAAAUAUACUUUUGAAAUAAAAUGCUAUAUGGCACCUAAUUUUUUUUUCUUUUAAAAUGCCUUAAGUUGCAGUCUCAUUUUGAUAAUCAUUUGCUUCCAGUGUUUAAAAAUUAAAAAAAG
RNAcentral lists this small RNA (793 nucleotides) under Pongo abelii (Sumatran orangutan). RNAcentral's name for it is "processed transcript". Lineage: Eukaryota; Metazoa; Chordata; Mammalia; Primates; Hominidae. The record is from RNAcentral.